GUUAGGAAUAUUGGACAAUGGGCGCAAGCCUGAUCCAGCCAUGCCGCGUGAACGAUGAAGGCCUUCGGGUUGUAAAGUUCUUUAGCCGAUGAUUAUAAUGACUGUAGUCGGAAAAUAAGCCCCGGCUAACUUCGUGCCAGCAGCCGCGGUAAUACGAAGGGGGCGAGCGUUAUUCGGAAGCAAUGGGCGUAAAGCGUGCGUAGGCGGUCUCGUAAGUUAGGAGUGAAAGCCCAGGGCUCAACCUUGGAAUUGCUCUUAAAACUGCAAGGCUAGAAUCUCGGAGAGGAUAGCGGAAUUUCCAGUGUAGCAGUGAAAUGCGUAGAUAUUGGAAGGAACACCAGUGGCGUAAGCGGCUAUCUCUACUAUUAUUGUCGCUGAGGCACGAUCGCGUGGGGAUCAAACAGGAUUAGAUACCCCAGUAGUCC
This 425-nucleotide ribosomal RNA is filed under the name uncultured bacterium. RNAcentral's name for it is "partial 16S ribosomal RNA". It matches the Rfam family "Bacterial small subunit ribosomal RNA", at positions 354 to 796 of the family's 1533-position model. The record is from RNAcentral.